Macaca mulatta (Rhesus monkey) is the source of this 339-nucleotide non-coding RNA. The record is from RefSeq and is a predicted model, not a curated record. NCBI's taxonomy places the organism in Eukaryota, Metazoa, Chordata, Mammalia, Primates, Cercopithecidae.
CAGAAUUCUCUCUAAUAUUCACAAUUGAAAUCUGAGCCUAAUAUCUUACCUUUAAAAAAAAAAAAGAAAUGAAAAGGCAGAAGCAUUCAAACUAGGACUCUGUCUGCCUGGGGCUUUUAAAAAUUUUGUGGAGGAAGGACUCAUAGAACCAUAAUGAGAAACAAGAAGAUGGUAGCCUGCAAUGUGGAAGAGGGCCCUCAUCAGAACUCAACCACGGGGACACUCUGACCUCUGAUUCUUAACCUCUAAAAAUCUCAACCUUGGGGAAGAACUGGAAGCAAAGCUACAGAGAUUCAACAAGUUGAAGACAGUAGGCAUAAGAAGUAUUCUAUGUGCAAG